GUUUUUUUGUUGUUUUUGUGUUUUGUUUGAAUGGU
This 35-nucleotide small RNA is filed under the name Arabidopsis thaliana (thale cress). Its description in RNAcentral is "ATSL006460". Lineage: Eukaryota; Viridiplantae; Streptophyta; Magnoliopsida; Brassicales; Brassicaceae. The record is from RNAcentral.